GGGGACACUGAGGGCUCUGGGGACACACAGAGAGGGGUCUGUAGGGUCCUUGGGUGGUGCGUAGGGAUCCUGAGGGGUUUGUGGGGACAGAGGGCUCUGAGCUCAUUGCCCCCUCCCCACAGUGGAGCAGCACAAGGAGGCACUGGAGAGGUCCUGGCAGCAGGUGCAGGGUGAGCCCAGGGGGCCCUGGGGUCUUUGGGACCCCCCCCAAAACCUCCCCUGAUGCCCCCUGACCCCCUUGACCCCCAUGAUUCCCUGACCCUUGUGGCCCCUCCUGACUCCCCCACAGGGGUUGGGACCCCCUUGGCCCCUGUGACCCCCUGACCCCCCUGACCUCAACCCCUGUGACCCCCCUGCCCCCCCAGAGUCGCUGCAGAGAGCACAACUGCAAGGGAAGGAGGUGGAGGCCAAAGGUCAGAGGUGAGUGGGAACACCUGUGACCCUCCUCAACCUCACCUGUGUGCCCCCCCAAAACACUCCUGGUGCCCCCUGACCCCCCACAGGCGCUGUGGGCUCUGCCUGGAGCAGCAGCAGGACAUGGAAGGGACAAAGCAGCACUGGAAGCAGCUGAAAGACCGUCCCCUCACCCUCAGGUGGCAGCACUGCCAGCAGCUCGAGUCCAUCAUGGAGGCCCCUCCCACCCCUGUCCCCCCACAGGCUCCGGCCCACCUGGAGGCUGAACUGGUGCAGCUGGAGAAGAUGGAGGAGAAGUGGCUGAACUGGGAGCGCCGUGUGAUGGACACCGAGGAGCAGCUGGGCCCACAGGCACCUGUGCUCAGGUGAGUGCCCAGCUCUGGCCCCGCCCCCUCCAAGGUGACCCUGCCCACUCAGGCCUGGCCCCGCCCCCUAACCCCCAUCCUCGCAGGCGAUUGGUGCAGCAGGACCAGGAGGGGGCGCAGCGACAGCUGGAGGUGGAGCUGGGCCGGCAGCGGCUGAGCCGGCGGCGCCGUGACAGGUGUGUGACACCUGGGGACAGGUGUGUGACCCCGGGGACAGGUGUGUGACCCCGGGACAGGUGUGGGACCCCUGGGGACAGGUGUGGGACAGAUGUGAGGGACAGUAUGUGACCCCUGGGACAGGUGUGUGACCCCGGGACAGGUGUGUGACACCUGGGACAGGUGUGGGACAGGUGUGCCCCUGUCACCUGCCCCACCCACCUCUGGCCCCGCCCCCAGGUUGGCCGAGGAGCUGCAGCAGCUGCAGCGCCCCCGCGAGGCUCA
RNAcentral lists this long non-coding RNA (1220 nucleotides) under Taeniopygia guttata (zebra finch). Its description in RNAcentral is "lncRNA (ENSTGUG00000023692.1)". Lineage: Eukaryota; Metazoa; Chordata; Aves; Passeriformes; Estrildidae. The record is from RNAcentral.